Long non-coding RNA from Oreochromis aureus, 1719 nucleotides. NCBI's taxonomy places the organism in Eukaryota, Metazoa, Chordata, Actinopteri, Cichliformes, Cichlidae. The record is from Ensembl.
UUUCAAGAAAUGCAGACUGUUAAGAGAAUAUGGUAUAUAUGUGAUCAGCUACAUGAAAUGUAUUAUCAUUAAGCACAUUUCUACAUGACUCUUUACCUAGUAACUUGUGUGCUGAACUUAUGCAGAUACUAACCGCAUCCUGUUGUUCUGAACAUUUAGAUGUAGAGAAGACCAAGCUCAGCUCUUUUACGAGAACAUGCAAAUGAAGAGAAGGGGAAAAACCCGCUGCUCUAAAUGACGUUGUUACCUUUGUACACACAUACACACACACACACACACACACACACACACACACACACACACACACACAGAAAAGUAUAAAUAAAGGAUGCGGACAGUCAAUGGGCGCAGAUCCUGUGUUCAUGACUGCCCUCGCGAGUGAAAGAACUGCAGUGUUUGUGUUUUCUAAACUCAGGAGUCUUGGCUAAAGAAAGAGCGGCAGGGUGAUUUAAAGAAAUCCCUGUCAUUUAAAUUGGUCCUUCGAACCUAGAGAUGGAAACAGCAGACUCAUUUCUGUGACUCCAAUAAGGUCUGAUUUCUGCAUCCUGACGCCGUGGUUUAAACCAGCACCGAAGUCUGUCGACAGCCCUCUCCAGGUAGAGGUGAGAGUCCUGGAACGUUGAAUUCGGGUCCAGGCCGGUGAUUUAGUACUGGUCCACGACGUUGGGAUCCAGAUGACCUGAACAACCAGCAAAAGACGACUGAGGGUUGACACCAAGUGUUAUUGACGACACCCACAGCCUGUAAAAUUGCAGAGAGACCCUCCUGGAUACAUCAGAGCCACUGCAAAAGGGUUGAGGUCCCGGGAAGCCCCAUCACUAAGGAGGAAGCACAUUGGGAAGGCCUCACCUACGUUUGGUUGCUUCGGGGGUGAGGGGGGGGUAGUGCGAUUGGGCCCCCGUUGGGUAAGCCUGCACUCCACUCUCUAUCCGAUCAACUUUAGGGCAGCCAGGUGCAGGUGUGAUGGACCAAUGUGCAACAAUGUGAAGGGGAAGCCUCAUGGUUACCUUGACUACAAAAGCUCACCCUUACAUCCAUCCUUGGAUGAAAAAUGCCUGAUACAGACCACAGAGAAAGACUGUUAUGUUAAACACCCUGGAACAAGUGCACCAAAUCUGAUCUAAUGACUUUUGUAAGGUGCACAACAUCAUCAACAUCCUGAUCCAGGAAGAAGCCCUGAACUUUAACAAGUUUUAAAGAGACUGUUGAUCAUCAUUGAAUUUUUCUUGAUUUUAUUUUGCUUUUCUUUACUUAUGUUAUUCUUUGUUUAAAGCUGUAAUUUCACAGAUGAUAAGUUUAUCAUUCACAGCAUACGCAGAUGUACCAAAACCAGUGAAGACUUCUUUUCCUGUUUGUCAGAUGAAGAUGAAGUGUAACUUAUGAUGUAGUAACUGAGUUGCUUAUUGUACAUUUCAUUUCUCUGAUAAACAGGGCGGAAUGUUAAGAGAAUAUGGUAUAUAUGUGAUCAGCUACAUGAAAUGUAUUAUCAUUAAGCACAUUUCUACAUGACUCUUUACCUAGUAACUUGUGUGCUGAACUUAUGCAGAUACUAACCGCAUCCUGUUGUUCUGAACAUUUAGAUGUAGAGAAGACCAAGCUCAGCUCUUUUACGAGAACAUGCAAAUGAAGAGAAGGGGAAAAACCCGCUGCUCUAAAUGACGUUGUUACCUUUGUACACACACACACACACACACACACACACACACACACACACACACA